RNAcentral lists this non-coding RNA (87 nucleotides) under Kocuria rhizophila. RNAcentral describes it as "SAM-I sequence". It matches the Rfam family "SAM riboswitch aptamer (S box leader)". Rfam says of the family: The SAM riboswitch is found upstream of a number of genes which code for proteins involved in methionine or cysteine biosynthesis in Gram-positive bacteria. The SAM riboswitch acts at the level of transcription termination control. The predicted structure consists of a complex stem-loop region followed by a single stem loop terminator region. The record is from RNAcentral. Lineage: Bacteria; Bacillati; Actinomycetota; Actinomycetes; Micrococcales; Micrococcaceae. RNAcentral also lists the same sequence under 1 other name.
UGCCCAUCCAGAGCGGCUCAGAGAUCUGGCUCGAUCACGCCGCAGCAACCGGGUCACACCCGGUGCUAAUGCCAGAACCGAUGGAAA